AGAGAAUGCCCGAGUCAGUCACGUUUAGAGUUCGAUCCGACAGAGGGAGGAGUGCUAUCUUACGAUUGGUUAAAAUACCACCGCUCCCUACGUACGCCAUUAAAGAGAAUCGUAUUUCUGUUGUACAAAAUGAAAGAGAGGACUUAGCAGCUUAUAAAGAUGAUUCAUGCAGAGCUGUUAUUUUACUCACAAGACAUCCACAGUCUCUCCAUUAUACUUUGGAAGGGCAUCUACAAAUUGGAUUAAAAUUGAUUCACAUCAAACCUUCUGAAGAUGGGAGUCGACAUAUUUUAGUU
Molecule: long non-coding RNA, 296 nt
Organism: Patella vulgata (common limpet)
Lineage: Eukaryota; Metazoa; Mollusca; Gastropoda; Patellidae
Exons: 3
Source: RefSeq, a predicted model, not a curated record